Etheostoma cragini (Arkansas darter) is the source of this 118-nucleotide long non-coding RNA. RefSeq lists it as uncharacterized. NCBI's taxonomy places the organism in Eukaryota, Metazoa, Chordata, Actinopteri, Perciformes, Percidae. The record is from RefSeq and is a predicted model, not a curated record. The transcript has 4 exons.
GUUUGAUGAAUAAGUGAAUUUGGGGUGUCUUGUUAUCCCAUGUGGGAUGGACCAAAUGUUUUGCAUGACACAGAAAUAAAAUAAAACUAGAACUAACUAAAACUAUGAAAUUGAUAAU